GGGGGUCUGAAAGGGCCUAAAAUGGGGCUGGGAGGGGGGGGUCUGAGAGGCCCUAAAAUGGGGCUCUGGGGGGGGAUGCAGUGCUUGCAGGUGCUGAGGUGGCCCUGGGGACGCUUUGAGCGGUGCUACGAAGCGUUGGGUUUUGGGGCCUUCUUGGAUGAACCGUUUGCUUCUUCAAGUCCACCUUUAAAAAAGAAACUUCUGUUUUCGUUUCUUUCAGCCCCGAAAGCGCCGUCCUCUGUCACAGGAUCGGAACUGUGGGACAGCAGUAGGGAAGGGGCAGCGUUUGGGCCCAGCGCUGACCCCAUCACUUCAAGGAGAGCCUCGGCCUUCCACUUCCCCAAAAUUUGGGAUGGAAAAAAAGGGGAAAUGGGGCAAAAGGAGGAAGCUGAAGGCCGUUCACCUUCUGGCUGCGUUUGCUUUUUCCCGGCGCCUCGGUCCGCUGUGAGAUUUGGCCGGAAUUGGUCAAAAGUGAAUUUCCUCGUGAAUUCCAGCCUUUUCGUUUUCGGUGCUGGAUGAGAACCGUGCAGGAAACGGGAGGAUGUCCAGAAGGAAGGAAAGGAACGCCUUCCAAACGUGGCUUUUCACGACGCUGAGUGAUAAACACGAGGAGUUCCGACCCAACCCUACAACAGAACCCGCCCUCAUACAGAAGAAAUGCUGAGUUUGGGUGCGCGCUUCUGAGAAUUUUGGUGUGAAACCUCCAAGAAAAAAAAAACAAAACAAAACCCCACCAACUUCAGGGAAGUGUUGGCUUCGCUCGUGGAGAGCAGUGUGUAUUUUAGCUAUUUCUCCUAAAAACCAACAAAGGAGGGGCUGCGGCACGUGGCCGGAGGCUGAACGAGUGCGUCAGUCAGCCGCUGUGAAAGUAAUGGUGUAACGUGAACAUUCACUUCCCCCGGAAGAGUUGACGUGUUUUCCCAACCUCAUAAAUCGGAGAGGUUUUGGGAAAGGAGGAUCAGAGAUGGCACUGAACGGAGGUGCUGAUGGCGCCUGUGAGAACUGGGAGCUCACCAAGGACAUGCUGCUGGAGGAGCAGAGCCCGAGGAAAUCGCCCAAAAGAGCGGUGCUGUCGCUCCUGCCCUCGUCCCCACCAAGAGCCGUUGUGCUGCUGGCCCUGCUCCUGGCCCUCAGCUUUGUGUUCCUCAUGAUUCUUAUCCUUGUGAACAUCCAAAGAGGUGAGAUAAGCACCGUGCUCGCGUUCCCACCACCGC
Molecule: long non-coding RNA, 1214 nt
Filed under: Gallus gallus (chicken)
Lineage: Eukaryota; Metazoa; Chordata; Aves; Galliformes; Phasianidae
Description: lncRNA (ENSGALG00010003941.1)
Source: RNAcentral